GCUGGAGUAGCUCAGCUGGGAGAGCGUUAGACUGAAGAUCUAAAGGUCCCUGAAUCAAUCCCGGGCUUCGGCA
Molecule: transfer RNA, 73 nt
Filed under: Alligator mississippiensis (American alligator)
Lineage: Eukaryota; Metazoa; Chordata; Crocodylia; Alligatoridae
Description: tRNA-Phe (GAA) (tRNA-Phe-GAA-7-1)
Rfam family: tRNA
About the family: Transfer RNA (tRNA) molecules are approximately 80 nucleotides in length. Their secondary structure includes four short double-helical elements and three loops (D, anti-codon, and T loops).
Source: Rfam by way of RNAcentral